RNAcentral lists this ribosomal RNA (750 nucleotides) under Kytococcus sedentarius. RNAcentral's name for it is "bacterial SSU rRNA". It matches the Rfam family "Bacterial small subunit ribosomal RNA", at positions 90 to 851 of the family's 1533-position model. Lineage: Bacteria; Bacillati; Actinomycetota; Actinomycetes; Micrococcales; Kytococcaceae. The record is from RNAcentral.
GAUCAGUGGCGAACGGGUGAGUAACACGUGAGUAACCUGCCCUCCACUCUGGGAUAAGCGCUGGAAACGGCGUCUAAUGCUGGAUACGACCAAUCCCUGCAUGGGGUGUUGGUGGAAAGAUUUAUCGGUGGUGGAUGGACUCGCGGCCUAUCAGUUUGUUGGUGGGGUAAUGGCCUACCAAGGCGACGACGGGUAGCCGGCCUGAGAGGGCGACCGGCCACACUGGGACUGAGACACGGCCCAGACUCCUACGGGAGGCAGCAGUGGGGAAUAUUGCACAAUGGGCGAAAGCCUGAUGCAGCGACGCCGCGUGAGGGAUGACGGCCUUCGGGUUGUAAACCUCUUUCAGCAGGGAAGAAGCUUUUGUGACGGUACCUGCAGAAGAAGCACCGGCUAACUACGUGCCAGCAGCCGCGGUAAUACGUAGGGUGCGAGCGUUGUCCGGAAUUAUUGGGCGUAAAGAGCUUGUAGGCGGUUUGUCGCGUCUGCUGUGAAAAUCCAGGGCUUAACCCUGGACGUGCAGUGGGUACGGGCAGACUAGAGUAUGGUAGGGGAGACUGGAAUUCCUGGUGUAGCGGUGGAAUGCGCAGAUAUCAGGAGGAACACCGAUGGCGAAGGCAGGUCUCUGGGCCAUUACUGACGCUGAGAAGCGAAAGCAUGGGGAGCGAACAGGAUUAGAUACCCUGGUAGUCCAUGCCGUAAACGUUGGGCGCUAGGCGUGGGUCUCAUUCCACGAGAUCCGUGUCGCAG